GUGGAAUAUUAGGUGAUUUCUUCUGUACUCAACUGCAUUUUUCUUAACAUGGAUUACGUUAAGAAGAAAUACAAGCUAACAACAGAUCCAGAUCCAAAGAACUAUUCAGUUAGCUUACAAAUGCAAUUGAAACACAUAAAAAUUCCCAUUGACAGAACUGAGAUAUGUAAAUUUCAUGUUAGCCUUGGAUAGAGUAUUCAUGCCUUGGUGUAAUUAUCCCUCCUAUGGAGUGCAGGUAAAAUAACUGUCUUAAUCAAUAGAAUACAGCAAAAGUGACGGGAUGUCACUUCUGUGAUUAUGUUACAGAAGAUUGUGAUUGUCAUCUUGCUAGCAGAUUCAUUCUGUCUCUUCCUUCCUCCUUCCUCCCACUUUUGCUGGCUUUGAUGAAACAAGCUGCCAUGUUGGAGAGGCACAUAUAGCAAGGAAUUGAGAGUGUUCGCCAGCCAACAGCCAGUGAGGAACUCAGGCCCUCAGUCUAAUAGCCCUCGAGGAAUUGAAUCCUGCCAAAACAACAAAGGGCUAUCUAAAACUGAGAUCGGUUCCAGCCUCUGUCUGAAUUGAAGGUAGAAGGUAGACAUGUGACCCAGG
Molecule: long non-coding RNA, 588 nt
Filed under: Homo sapiens (human)
Lineage: Eukaryota; Metazoa; Chordata; Mammalia; Primates; Hominidae
Description: HSALNT0284926
Source: RNAcentral